Long non-coding RNA from Oreochromis aureus, 2565 nucleotides. NCBI's taxonomy places the organism in Eukaryota, Metazoa, Chordata, Actinopteri, Cichliformes, Cichlidae. The record is from Ensembl.
GUUGCACUGAAAAGCUUUAUUGGAAAAUUCAGUGGGCAUGAAAAAAGUCUGACUUCAGAGAACAUUUCAAUAAGACAACUCGAGUUACAAAGUGCUAAAUCAGUCACCUGUAGAGAUUUGAGAAAAGGAAGAAAAAUGCUCCAGGAAAAGCAAAAAACAAAGAAAGUCUCAAAACAUUUUAAGCUUUGAAAAAUAAUCAUUUCUGUAAGACAUGCAGAUGAGUUAUCGACUUGCGGGCUCUGUCACAGUGAAGCAAAGUGACGGCCGUGUGAAGCUGUGUGUUGUUUUUUUCCUCAAGUGGCUCAAUCAGUCGACUGAAACAGCAUAAACAAAACUGAUCCACGUCUUAGGUCCCCGACAUGGCGACACUCGGUGGAGCAGGAGCCUGUGCAGGCAGGAACCAACAGACAGUGCUGACGUUUUAUUGUCGACAUUUCAUGAAAAAUAUAGCAGACAUAAUCAUAAGUGGUAUAUUCUGCCAAUCGGCAAUUAAAAUAGUUUUUACAAAUACUGUACAAUCGCUUCUCAAAAAGAAGAAAAAAAACCAGACAAGAUUUUGCAAUAUAACAUUUGUUGAAUCCAUUUCACUUCAUGUACACAUGUUUAUUUAAGAAGAGAAAAACACUUUACAAAAGACUUUUUGUACAAUUAGGCACAAAAAAAUAAUUACGAUAUGAUAAAGCUGUGUUUAUUGUACCAUCCAUACACUGUAUAAAAGAUGAAUGAAUCACAAGUCGUUAGCCAUUGAGCAUUUCAUGGAUUAUCAUCUUUUCCGAAUUUUAGAAUGACCAAAACGUACAAAACAGACUUAACGUUUAACUCUGGAUCAUUCCAAUUGAGUGACUGAGCGUCACUCACAAGAAAGUGUUUGUGUCCGUUUUCACCAUAGACUUCAACAGGACGAGAGCUCUUUAUCCAAUCACACAUUUUGCCCUCUAGUGUCCAUUAAAAAUAAUGGAGGCAUAAACCAACUCCAUUUGGGGUUCACUUUCUGAUACACAAGCCGUGUUUAACUUUUACACUGUCAUGGUGCCACCAUAAUAAGUGCAGUUGAAGCAUGGCAUAAUUAACACACAAGGUUAAAUAUAUAUCUCAAGACACGUUAACACAGCUUUUUUCAUGAUUUCUUAUACAGCAGGAAUUAAGAAUUGAAUUAUAAACCAUAGAAAACUGUAAAUGAGACGGUGUAGACCAGAUGCUAGGAGAUUUAAUUAUCCCCCUGCUGCUGUGCAGUGAGGGAGGAAAAAAGAAACUCAGUCAACAGACAUCAGUCUCAGUAAAUGUUAAACUUCCCUUAAAGCCAGCUGCUUAUAGGAUUCAGCUUCUGCAAAACUCUUGUUAAAUUAGAUGUGGGAAAAAUAGAGAUUAUACAGGGGAGGGAGGAGGAGGGGGGAGAGAGAGAGAGAGAGAGAGCGAGAGCGAGAGAGGCUAUGGCUAUGUUUGUCUGCUAGUUGGUCAAAAAGUUUGGUUCAUACUGAAUCUCUCAACAACUCUUUGACAAGCUGGUGCGACAAUGGUUAUGCCUUGAAAAACAACAACAAAAAACAAAAAUACAAAACAAAACAAACAAACAAACAAACAAACAAACAAACAAACAAAAAAAAAAAAAAAAAAAAACAAAAAGCAGGGGAAAAAAACCCCAACAGAGCAAAACAAAAACAGCAUCUUUCAAUUUUUUUUUUUUUUUCCACAUUUUUUCAACAUGACGUUACACAAUAUUAAAACGGGAAAAGGCUCAGAAAUCAGGACAUCGAUUUAAUUCUGUAGGAACGUUUUACAUUAAAAUAUGUACACCGCUUUUUUGUCAUCCACCCACCCUGAUUAAAAAUACAAGCCCGACUUUUAAUUUUUCUGUGCUCAAACUUCCACUCAAAAAUUAACACCACUGAUGCAGCAGCAAUUACACAAAAGAGGAAACAAAACCACCAAAGCACAACAUACAUCCAAACAGGCACAGCAGAACGGUGGCAACAGUAGUGUACAUUCAAAGAUGUGGGUCAGUAUGGCUCUCUGGUGGAUGAAGCUUAUUAACAUGAUGUUAGAGUGGACCCAUUAUGCUCCAUAUCUUUACUCUUGGACUCUACUGGAGUCCCUUUAUUGUUCACAGUUAAAAAUAAUGCUCAUUUUUCUUAUGCUUCGCACUCUAAAACAACUUGUUUUGAUUCCGUUCCUUCUCUUAAGUCACCUUCCUUUGAUUGUUUUGUUUGCGUGUGACAACCAAAGUUUGAAAGGCAGGUAUGCGGGGCUUCCGUGGUCAUAACGAUAGAUGGAGAUAAUUUACCUCAGCCUAAGCUCAUUUUUGAAAAUUUGGCCAUAUCUAAUAUGUGAUUAAAGACAUUAAAUUGAUUUUCCUAACACUUGUUGCGCAUAGAAUAUAAUUUAGUCCUGUAUGUGCUGAAGAAGGUUGGCCGGGGAGAGGGAGGUCCUGGCUUUUCUCCUUCGGCUGCUGCCCAGGUGACCCAGAUUCAGGUAAGAGGCAGAAAAUCGAUAGAUUUUAAAAAUAAUUUUGUUUUGCCAUCAGAUGUGGAAUACUCAUUUCUGCUCUGCCCAGCUCAGCUUUGCAAA